RNAcentral lists this ribosomal RNA (253 nucleotides) under uncultured bacterium. Its description in RNAcentral is "partial 16S ribosomal RNA". It matches the Rfam family "Bacterial small subunit ribosomal RNA", at positions 524 to 776 of the family's 1533-position model. The record is from RNAcentral.
GACAGAGGGUGCAAACGUUGCUCGGAAUCACUGGGCGUAAAGGGCGUGUAGGCGGGAAGGAAAGUCAGAUGUGAAAUCCCUGGGCUCAACCCAGGAACUGCAUUUGAAACUCCCUUUCUUGAGUACCGGAGAGGAAGGUGGAAUACCUGGUGUAGAGGUGAAAUUCGCAGAUAUCAGGAGGAACACCGGUGGCGAAGGCGGGUCUCUGGGCCGAUACUGACGCUGAGGAGCGAAAGCGUGGGGAGCGAACAGG